AAACGACUCUCGGCAACGGAUAUCUCGGCUCUCGCAUCGAUGAAGAACGUAGCGAAAUGCGAUACUUGGUGUGAAUUGCAGAAUCCCGUGAACCAUCGAGUUUUUGAACGCAAGUUGCGCCCGAAGCCUUUUGGUCGAGGGCACGUCUGCCUGGGUGUCACGC
This 163-nucleotide ribosomal RNA is filed under the name Moeroris tenella. Its description in RNAcentral is "Phyllanthus tenellus 5.8S ribosomal RNA". It matches the Rfam family "5.8S ribosomal RNA". Rfam says of the family: 5.8S ribosomal RNA (5.8S rRNA) is a component of the large subunit of the eukaryotic ribosome. It is transcribed by RNA polymerase I as part of the 45S precursor that also contains 18S and 28S rRNA. Lineage: Eukaryota; Viridiplantae; Streptophyta; Magnoliopsida; Malpighiales; Phyllanthaceae. The record is from RNAcentral.